GGUUAAACAGGUAGCAAGCCAACCCAAAUUCACUUAUUACACACAAUAAAACAGCAAACCCCCACACAAACUAGUAAUCCCUAAAACUUAAAAGCAUACCAUACUCUGAAUCACUUCUUCAAGAACCCCUGAGCCAUCUUCAUGUAACCCCCAAACCCUCCACCGGACUCAGAUUCCUCCUCAUCAUCAUCCCUCGCCGGCUUCGCAGGAGCGUGCUCAGUCUUACCGGCGGCGGAGUUACCGGUUCCAUGGUCAGACUCUGAAGCGUGAUACUUAUGGAGAAACCCCUCGGCCUUUUCGAUGUACGCCCCGUAGCUGCCCUCCCCCAGCUUGCCGUAGUCUUCUGCAGCCGCGAGCAUCUCUUCAGCAGCUUCUGAAAGCUUGGCCUUGUCGGCGCCCUUCCGGUUGAGAGCAGCGCCGGCGAGGAGCUGGGCGUUGGCGAGGAGCUCGGUGGAGGAGGCCUUGUGAUGGUGCUCGUGCUGGCGGCGCGGCUUGUUGGCGUGGGACUCCUCCGAUGAGUAAUCCAUGAGGAUGGGGGUGCUGGAUCUGAGAAGGUGG
RNAcentral lists this unclassified non-coding RNA (558 nucleotides) under Hevea brasiliensis (rubber tree). The record is from RNAcentral. Lineage: Eukaryota; Viridiplantae; Streptophyta; Magnoliopsida; Malpighiales; Euphorbiaceae.